Molecule: long non-coding RNA, 1022 nt
Filed under: Felis catus (domestic cat)
Lineage: Eukaryota; Metazoa; Chordata; Mammalia; Carnivora; Felidae
Description: lncRNA (ENSFCAG00000047656.1)
Source: RNAcentral
CACCGUUUCGUUCUGUAUUUCUCUAGAUCGCCGCUGUUAUGCCCAGAAUUCGUGAUCCCCAAAGACCACCAGGGAGCCGAGUCCGAUGCAAAAGCAAAAGAGCCUUUAUUCGAGCUAGCUCGAGCUCAAUCCCCUACCUGCACCGACACAGCGGUGAGAUACCAGGGAGAGAGAGCGAGUUUCAAAAGCACAAAGGUUUUAUAGGGGUCUAGGGGCAGUUGGUGAGGUAACGGCUGUGGGCUCAGCCGAUUGGCUGGGGAAGGGUUGUGGCCUCGGCUGAUUGGCUGGGGAAGGGUCGGCGUCCUGUUACGCAGGUCGCUGGGUGUGUUUUGAUCAGGAAGUUUGAACGGGUGAGCGGGAGGUUACUCAAGGGGAGGAGGCGCGGUCUGAGGUUUCUUCGUUUUCCCGGAAAAGGGGUCAUGUCUGGGACAUAGUCACUCAAGGUGGAGGACACAGAGCAAGAUGGAGUCGGCCGGCGUAGGCCCACCCUUUCAGCCGCUCUUGUCCAAAGUCCUGGAGCGCUGAGGAAGAGAACAGAAGCCUGAGAGGGGAAGUUACUUUUGUUCUUCCAGUAUCAAUAGAUCAACUAGAUGGCCCCCAAGAGGAACCACUGGCACCACGUCUGAGGGGGAGCUGGAACGCAGGUGUUCAUGCCGAGUCCAGGAAUGCCGGUUGGAAGGGAGAGAUGGUUGUGUGCACAGUUGAGCUCCUGGCACAGACCAGCCACUAUUCUAGGAACUCUGGAGGCAAACAUAAGACAGAUAUUCUCCACGUUUAGAAGACAGUCAGGUGGAAGAUACUGGGACGGUGGAGUGCCUGCGUUUAAGAGGAAGAUUUAUUGGACUCGCGGCAUCCACUGUGAACCUUCUACAGCCGCAUUAGCUAACAUCUGUUGGAAAAUGUCAGGAUGCGGGGCUGAAGACAUGCACGCAGGAUGUAUGCUUUCGGGAGCUGGAACAACAAACCGGAAGCAUGGGCAGCCCUUGCAAGCUAAAUUAAUUAGCGAUGGGACCUGUGUCUGC